RNAcentral lists this ribosomal RNA (491 nucleotides) under uncultured bacterium. RNAcentral describes it as "partial 16S ribosomal RNA". It matches the Rfam family "Bacterial small subunit ribosomal RNA", at positions 29 to 507 of the family's 1533-position model. The record is from RNAcentral.
UUGCACGCUGGCGGCAUGCUUUACCCAUGCAAGUCGAACGGUAACAGGCCUUCGGGUGCUGACGAGUGGCGAACGGGUGAGUAAUGCAUCGGAACGUACCCAGAGGUGGGGGAUAACGCAGCGAAAGCUGUGCUAAUACCGCAUGUGAUCUGAGGAUGAAAGCGGGGGACCGAGCAGCAAUGUUUGGCCUCGCGCCUUUGGAGCGGCCGAUGUCGGAUUAGCUAGUUGGUGGGGUAAAGGCCUACCAAGGCGACGAUCCGUAGCUGGUCUGAGAGGACGACCAGCCACACUGGGACUGAGACACGGCCCAGACUCCUACGGGAGGCAGCAGUGGGGAAUUUUGGACAAUGGGCGCAAGCCUGAUCCAGCAAUGCCGCGUGCGGGAAGAAGGCCUUCGGGUUGUAAACCGCUUUUGGCAGGAACGAAACGGUGUCCGCUAAUACCGGGCGCUAAUGACGGUACCUGCAGAAUAAGCACCGGCUAACUACGUG